RNAcentral lists this transfer RNA (75 nucleotides) under Microcaldota archaeon. RNAcentral describes it as "tRNA-Lys". It matches the Rfam family "tRNA". From Rfam's summary of the family: Transfer RNA (tRNA) molecules are approximately 80 nucleotides in length. Their secondary structure includes four short double-helical elements and three loops (D, anti-codon, and T loops). Further hydrogen bonds mediate the characteristic L-shaped molecular structure. tRNAs have two regions of fundamental functional importance: the anti-codon, which is responsible for specific mRNA codon recognition, and the 3' end, to which the tRNAs corresponding amino acid is attached (by aminoacyl-tRNA synthetases). tRNAs cope with the degeneracy of the genetic code in two manners: having more than one tRNA (with a specific anti-codon) for a particular amino acid; and 'wobble' base-pairing, i.e. permitting non-standard base-pairing at the 3rd anti-codon position. The record is from RNAcentral. Lineage: Archaea; Nanobdellati; Microcaldota.
GGGCUCGUAGCUCAGCUUGGCUAGAGCGCCUGGCUUUUAACCAGGAGGUCGUGGGUCCGAAUCCCGCCGAGCCCG